ACUCCUACGGGAGGCAGCAGUGGGGAAUAUUGCACAAUGGGGGAAACCCUGAUGCAGCCAUGCCGCGUGUGUGAAGAAGGCCUUCGGGUUGUAAAGCACUUUCAGUUGUGAGGAAGGUGGUGUCGUUAAUAGCGGCAUCAUUUGACGUUAGCAACAGAAGAAGCACCGGCUAACUCCGUGCCAGCAGCCGCGGUAAUACGGAGGGUGCGAGCGUUAAAUCGGAAUUACUGGGCGUAAAGCGCAUGCAGGUGGUUUGUUAAGUCAGAUGUGAAAGCCCGGGGCUCAACCUCGGAACUGCAUUUGAAAACUGGCAGACUAGAGUACUGUAGAGGGGGGUA
RNAcentral lists this ribosomal RNA (338 nucleotides) under uncultured bacterium. RNAcentral's name for it is "bacterial SSU rRNA". It matches the Rfam family "Bacterial small subunit ribosomal RNA", at positions 335 to 663 of the family's 1533-position model. The record is from RNAcentral.